UAGAACCUCCUAGGCAUGUAGAAUAAAGUCUUGACUCCACAUCCUCGGGAAUGCCAAGGCUUCGGUGGAGAUGCCUGGUGCAAAGGGAGCCACAAUUGUGCCCUGUGCAGGAUAUAGCCCUAGAGCAUGGCCUGGGCCAUCUGCACAGUUUGGCUGGUUUUUGUACGUGUAGUGUGCUGUCAAUUCUCAGAAGGAACCUCGAUUGAGAAAACACCCCCAUCCAAUUGGCCUGUAGGAAUCUGUGUUUGGGAGUAUCCAGUGUCUGCGGAAGACUGGGGAACCACAGAAACUGUAGGAGGCAGAAAGAAGCUACCUUCAGUGAUCCAGCCAGGUUCCUGUCCCCCUAACCCCACCCCUGGGGUCUGCCUCACCUCACAGGUUCCAAGGGUCACCUCUAAACCCUAUCUACCUGGAGGGAAGUUCUUGAAACCUGCCAUUCUAUUACACUGUGACUGGUCUGGUCUGGUCUCCAUGGAAGCUGAUGGAAUCCCUGCCCUCCCCUUGGUGGACAGAGCCUGAGGCCCUGGAGCCCAUGUGGCCCCAGGAAUCCCAUUGAUUACACUGGGUGCCCAGUGCCGGGUGCCAGGAGAGCCCACAGGAACACACAGUCGGGUGAAUUGGAGAACCAAUCCUGUUGUCUUCUGCCAGGCAACAUCCCAAAUCCAUCCCCAGGGGAAACCUGCAGGUCCCUUCACCUUGGAGCCUCACAGUUUGGGGUUUUGAUUUGGGAGUUAUGGCUGUGACCGGCUCCCACAGGCUUGGGGGUUGCUUUGCUUUGCAAAUACUAGCCUCAGGAGAGGAAGGCCAGAGGGAAGGAUGGUUAGGUACUGGGGAAGCUUUAAGUUAUAACUGUAGGCAUACAUUUUUUGCAACCUACUUUUUUAUAUAUGUAGUAUAAUGUGGCAUAUUAUUUAUUGUCAAUUAAAAACUCAGUUGAAAAUAUUUACAGGGGCUGGAGAGAUGGCUCAGCAGUUAAGAACACUGACUGCUUUUCUAGAGGUCCUGAGUUCAAGUCCCAGCAACCACAUGGUGGCUCACAAGCAUCUGUAAUGAGAUCUGAUGCCCUCUUCUGGUGUGUCUGAAGACAGCUGCAAUGUACUGAUAUAAAUAAUAAAUAAA
Molecule: long non-coding RNA, 1119 nt
Filed under: Rattus norvegicus (Norway rat)
Lineage: Eukaryota; Metazoa; Chordata; Mammalia; Rodentia; Muridae
Description: long non-coding RNA NONRATT033289
Source: RNAcentral